RNAcentral lists this ribosomal RNA (492 nucleotides) under uncultured bacterium. RNAcentral describes it as "partial 16S ribosomal RNA". It matches the Rfam family "Bacterial small subunit ribosomal RNA", at positions 29 to 507 of the family's 1533-position model. The record is from RNAcentral.
AGUGAACGCUGGCGGUAGGCCUAACACAUGCAAGUCGAACGGCAGCACAGUAAGAGCUUGCUCUUACGGGUGGCGAGUGGCGGACGGGUGAGGAAUACAUCGGAAUCUACUUUUUCGUGGGGGAUAACGUAGGGAAACUUACGCUAAUACCGCAUACGACCUACGGGUGAAAGCAGGGGAUCCUCGGACCUUGCGCGAUUGAAUGAGCCGAUGUCGGAUUAGCUAGUUGGCGGGGUAAAGGCCCACCAAGGCGACGAUCCGUAGCUGGUCUGAGAGGAUGAUCAGCCACACUGGAACUGAGACACGGUCCAGACUCCUACGGGAGGCAGCAGUGGGGAAUAUUGGACAAUGGGCGCAAGCCUGAUCCAGCCAUACCGCGUGGGUGAAGAAGGCCUUCGGGUUGUAAAGCCCUUUUGUUGGGAAAGAAAAGCAGCAGGUUAAUACCCCGCUGUUCUGACGGUACCCAAAGAAUAGGCACCGGCUAACUUCGUG